UACGAGAGGCCCGAGCGUUAAUCGGAAUCACUGGGCUUAAAGGGUGCGCAGGCGGAGCCGCAAGCGUCUUGUGAAAUCCCACGGCUUAACCGUGGAACAGCAGGGCGAACUGCGGUUCUUGAGACAGGUAGGGGCCGGCGGAACUAUCGGUGGAGCGGUGAAAUGCGUAGAUAUCGAUGGGAACGCCAAUGGCGAAGGUAGCCGGCUGGGCCUGUUCUGACGCUCAGGCACGAAAGCGUGGGGAGCAAACAGG
RNAcentral lists this ribosomal RNA (253 nucleotides) under uncultured bacterium. RNAcentral's name for it is "partial 16S ribosomal RNA". It matches the Rfam family "Bacterial small subunit ribosomal RNA", at positions 524 to 776 of the family's 1533-position model. The record is from RNAcentral.